UAGGCGGGCAAUUAGUACAAGGAGGCGGUGCAAACGGCUCAAGGAUACAAAGGUGGAUGCGCAGGAUGAAGCCACGGUGUCUCGCUGGUGCAAGAGGAGGAGGCGGGGGCGACCACUACACUAGCAACCUCGUCGGCGCAAGAGUAACAGUACACAUCGAAAAGGUAAAUACUAACCCUGUCUCUUCACGUCUUUAUCUCUUAGCCAUGUAUCCCUUUCUAAUUCAGUUCCCUCCUUUUCAUCUUUUUCAGCGCCUAGGUAGGACGGUAAUGUCGAGGAUGCAAGGAGGAAGAGGAUAUGUGUGCCGCUCUUUCUUACCAUGACUGUAUUCUUGGUUGAUUUACAUAUAUGUAUGUGCUCGUAUUUCCGCUGGUGAAAGCAAUAGUGUGAAGGCAAACUAUUUUACACUAUUCACUUAUAAUGAAACUCUUUGCCGAUAUCAUGUAAAGACGUUUUUCAUGACAAAUUUAUCAUAUUGUAUGAUUUUAUUUUUUAUCAUCACAACUAUAAUUUGUUUGUACUAUAUCUUACAGGUAUUUAUACAUCCUAAACCUACUUCAUCUGGCAUCAAUUGUCAUGAUACAAUUUGCAAGGCUGUAUGGGCAAUCAUGUUUAGGUGGGCGUCUUCCUGCAUAUGAUGGAAAUAAAAGCUUAUAUACAUCUUGUCCAUUUCCAUUUACUUAUGAGGCUUUUGAAUUAGUACUACUUGAUCAGGAAGACAGUCUUCAUGGUGGGCAAGUCAGAGAUGUAUGAUAUUCUGGGCAUAUCAAUAACCCUGUUCUAAUUAAUUGCUUACUGAUGUUGAUGCUCUCUGAAGGCGUGAGAUAAAAUUUUGGACCAUGAUAACAUUGGAUAAAGUUUUGUCGGGACGAAUUGAUAGUGAAGAAAUCUCUCAAGCAGUUAACACUGAACGUUCUUUCCAAAAACCAAAUUAAUCUCUUCU
RNAcentral lists this long non-coding RNA (943 nucleotides) under Triticum aestivum (bread wheat). Its description in RNAcentral is "long non-coding RNA (TAES_LNC008121)". The record is from RNAcentral. Lineage: Eukaryota; Viridiplantae; Streptophyta; Magnoliopsida; Poales; Poaceae.